This 445-nucleotide ribosomal RNA is filed under the name uncultured bacterium. RNAcentral's name for it is "SSU rRNA". It matches the Rfam family "Bacterial small subunit ribosomal RNA", at positions 26 to 518 of the family's 1533-position model. The record is from RNAcentral.
AGAGCGAACGCUGGCGGCAGGCCUAACACAUGCAAGUCGAGCGCCCCGCAAGGGGAGCGGCAGACGGGAGAGUAACACGUGGGAACGUACCCUUCAGUUCGGAACAACCCAGGGAAACUUGGGCUAAUACCGAAUACGUCCGUAAGGAGAAAGAUUUAUCGCUGAAGGAUCGGCCCGCGUCUGAUUAGCUUGUUGGUGAGGUAACGGCUCACCAAGGCGACGAUCAGUAGCUGGUCUGAGAGGAUGAUCAGCCUCACUGGGACUGAGACACGGCCCAGACUCCUACGGGAGGCAGCAGUGGGGAAUAUUGGACAAUGGGCGCAAGCCUGAUCCAGCCAUGCCGCGUGGGUGAUGAAGGCCCUAGGGUUGUAAAGCCCUUUCGGGCGGGAAGAUAAUGACGGUACCCGCAGAAGAAGCCCCGGCUAACGUUCGUGCCAGCAGCCGC